GAUGAACGCUGGCGGCGUGCCUAAUACAUGCAAGUCGAGCGAACGGACGAGAAGCUUGCUUCUCUGAUGUUAGCGGCGGACGGGUGAGUAACACGUGGAUAACCUACCUAUAAGACUGGGAUAACUUCGGGAAACCGUAGCUAAUACCGGAUAAUAUUUUGAACCGCAUGGUUCAAAAGUGAAAGACGGUCUUGCUGUCACUUAUAGAUGGAUCCGCGCUGCAUUAGCUAGUUGGUAAGGUAACGGCUUACCAAGGCAACGAUGCAUAGCCGACCUGAGAGGGUGAUCGGCCACACUGGAACUGAGACACGGUCAAGACUCCUACGGGAGGCAGCAGUAGGGAAUCUUACGCAAUGGGCGAAAGCCUGACGGAGCAACGCCGCGUGAGUGAUGAAGGUCUUCGGAUCGUAAAACUCUGUUAUUAGGGAAGAACAUAUGUGUAAGUAACUGUGCACAUCUUGACGGUACCUAAUCAGAAAGCAACGGCUAACUACGUG
Molecule: ribosomal RNA, 497 nt
Filed under: uncultured bacterium
Lineage: Bacteria
Description: partial 16S ribosomal RNA
Rfam family: Bacterial small subunit ribosomal RNA
Source: RNAcentral